GACGAACGCUGGCGGCGUGCUUAACACAUGCAAGUCGAACGGUAAGGCCCCUUCGGGGGUACACGAGUGGCGAACGGGUGAGUAACACGUGAGCAACCUGCCCUUGACUCUGGAAUAACAGUUGGAAACAGCUGCUAAUACCGGGUAUGACCUGUCAUCGCAUGGUGGUGGGUGGAAAGUUCUGGCGGUCAGGGAUGGGCUCGCGGCCUAUCAGCUAGUUGGUGAGGUAANGGCUCACCAAGGCUUCGACGGGUAGCCGGCCUGAGAGGGCGACCGGCCACACUGGGACUGAGAUACGGCCCAGACUCCUACGGGAGGCAGCAGUGGGGAAUAUUGCACAAUGGGCGAAAGCCUGAUGCAGCAACGCCGCGUGCGGGA
This 378-nucleotide ribosomal RNA is filed under the name uncultured bacterium. Its description in RNAcentral is "bacterial SSU rRNA". It matches the Rfam family "Bacterial small subunit ribosomal RNA", at positions 28 to 408 of the family's 1533-position model. The record is from RNAcentral.